AUCAGACCUCCCAUAGGCCCAUGAGGUAGAUUUGGUAUUAAGCGGAUUCCUAAUAAUUCUGUUUCCUGGCAAGCUCCUGACAUCCUGCAGCAUAAUGCAAAUGCAGCUGGCUACCCGGGUCAUAGCUCCGACUAACCCAUCACGCUCACUGAUGUAUGACUUCACCUCUCUGAAUGUGUUCUCCAUAUCAGUCUUCCCACGAGGAUCCCAUACCUCAGCAGGGAGAACAAUUAGGUAUUCAUCUCAUUACAAUAGAAGAGAUUUACAAAGAUAUGAGAGUCAGAAAGGAGAUAAGAAAGGAAAAAUAAUGUGUGUUAUUCGAAAAAGAAUAUGUUAUUUGAAAUCACUACAUUUGAAUAAUACUGGUCUGUAUAUAACUAAGACCUCAAAAAAAGGGAGAAGAAAGCAAUGCAAAAUGAAUCUGAAAAAGUGCUUAUUCAUUCAGUUACAGGACUCCACAAGGCUCUGGAAAUACAAACAUGAAAGGAGCACAGUCUAUGCUCUUUGGAGUCUGCGAGAAGAAAUGAUCAUGUAAGUGAACCAAACCUGAUAAAUUAUUGGUAAAGGUUAUAAGCUGCUGUGAGAGCACAGGGGAAGAAGAAAUAUCAAGAAGGUUUUCCAGAGGAAGGGCCACUGAAGGCUUGAAGGAAGAGUUAGAAUUGGCCAGACAGAUGGGACAACGUAUGUCAAAGCAGGUAGGCAUUAAAAACAUGGUGUAUUUGGAGAAUUGCAAAUAUUUGGAAGAUGGUCAUGAAUGAGUGAAGAGAGACUUAAUUUUUUAAAUUUAAAUUAAUUAGAUAAUGGAUAGUGUAGAUAAGAAAAUAAUCCAUUUGGAUUUUUAUAAUCAAUUUUGAAAUCAUAUACGUAUUGGGAUGCAGAUGAAAUAAUUACAGUGGUCUAAAUUUCUUAUGAAUUGCUUUCAGGUUUUUGAGUAACCCAAAACAUCCUCUAUGAGCAGAUCUAUUCUCCUUUCUUCCUCUUUUCUUCUUUUCUUCUCUAGGUUCAAGCAUAAUAAAGAUCAAUAUUUACCAUCUUUUAGUUUUCA
This 1045-nucleotide long non-coding RNA is filed under the name Vulpes vulpes (red fox). RNAcentral's name for it is "lncRNA (ENSVVUG00000026550.1)". The record is from RNAcentral. Lineage: Eukaryota; Metazoa; Chordata; Mammalia; Carnivora; Canidae.